This 68-nucleotide transfer RNA is filed under the name Erianthus versicolor. Its description in RNAcentral is "tRNA-Val". The record is from RNAcentral. Lineage: Eukaryota; Metazoa; Arthropoda; Insecta; Orthoptera; Chorotypidae.
GUUAAGAUAAUAAGUUAAUUUAUUCACUUACAAUGAAUUAAAAUUUUGUGCAACUCAAAAUAUCUUAA